AAGUCGAGCGAACAGACGAGGAGCUUGCUCCUCUGACGUUAGCGGCGGACGGGUGAGUAACACGUGGAUAACCUACCUAUAAGACUGGGAUAACUUCGGGAAACCGGAGCUAAUACCGGAUAAUAUAUUGAACCGCAUGGUUCAAUAGUGAAAGACGGUUUUGCUGUCACUUAUAGAUGGAUCCGCGCCGCAUUAGCUAGUUGGUAAGGUAACGGCUUACCAAGGCAACGAUGCGUAGCCGACCUGAGAGGGUGAUCGGCCACACUGGAACUGAGACACGGUCCAGACUCCUACGGGAGGCAGCAGUAGGGAAUCUUCCGCAAUGGGCGAAAGCCUGACGGAGCAACGCCGCGUGAGUGAUGAAGGUCUUCGGAUCGUAAAACUCUGUUAUUAGGGAAGAACAAAUGUGUAAGUAACUAUGCACGUCUUGACGGUACCUAAUCAGAAAGCCACGGCUAACUACGUGCCAGCAGCCGCGGUAAUACGUAGGUGGCAAGCGUUAUCCGGAAUUAUUGGGCGUAAAGCGCGCGUAGGCGGUUUUUUAAGUCUGAUGUGAAAGCCCACGGCUCAACCGUGGAGGGUCAUUGGAAACUGGAGAACUUGAGUGCAGAAGAGGAAAGUGGAAUUCCAUGUGUAGCGGUGAAAUGCGCAGAGAUAUGGAGGAACACCAGUGGCGAAGGCGACUUUCUGGUCUGUAACUGACGCUGAUGUGCGAAAGCGU
Molecule: ribosomal RNA, 721 nt
Filed under: uncultured Staphylococcus sp.
Lineage: Bacteria; Bacillati; Bacillota; Bacilli; Caryophanales; Staphylococcaceae
Description: bacterial SSU rRNA
Rfam family: Bacterial small subunit ribosomal RNA
Source: RNAcentral